This 432-nucleotide ribosomal RNA is filed under the name uncultured bacterium. RNAcentral's name for it is "partial 16S ribosomal RNA". It matches the Rfam family "Bacterial small subunit ribosomal RNA", at positions 29 to 506 of the family's 1533-position model. The record is from RNAcentral.
AACGAACGCUGGCGGCAUGCCUAACACAUGCAAGUCGAACGAGACCUUCGGGUCUAGUGGCGCACGGGUGCGUAACGCGUGGGAACCUGCCUUUAGGUUCGGAAUAACUCAGAGAAAUUUGAGCUAAUACCGGAUGAUGUCUUCGGACCAAAGAUUUAUCGCCUUUAGAUGGGCCCGCGUUGGAUUAGCUAGUUGGUGGGGUAAAGGCCUACCAAGGCGACGAUCCAUAGCUGGUCUGAGAGGAUGAUCAGCCACACUGGGACUGAGACACGGCCCAGACUCCUACGGGAGGCAGCAGUGGGGAAUAUUGGACAAUGGGCGAAAGCCUGAUCCAGCAAUGCCGCGUGAGUGAUGAAGGCCUUAGGGUUGUAAAGCUCUUUUACCCGAGAUGAUAAUGACAGGAUCGGGAGAAUAAGCUCCGGCUAACUCCGU